RNAcentral lists this ribosomal RNA (670 nucleotides) under Alicyclobacillus vulcanalis. RNAcentral describes it as "bacterial SSU rRNA". It matches the Rfam family "Bacterial small subunit ribosomal RNA", at positions 74 to 735 of the family's 1533-position model. Lineage: Bacteria; Bacillati; Bacillota; Bacilli; Caryophanales; Alicyclobacillaceae. The record is from RNAcentral.
ACCUCUUCGGAGGUCAGCGGCGGACGGGUGAGGAACACGUGGGUAAUCUGCCUUUCAGACCGGAAUAACGCCCGGAAACGGGCGCUAAUGCCGGAUACGCCCGAUGGGAGGCAUCUUUUGUCGGGGAAAGGGCCAACCGGUCCGCUGAGAGAGGAGCCCGCGGCGCAUUAGCUCGUUGGCGGGGUAACGGCCCACCAAGGCGACGAUGCGUAGCCGGCCUGAGAGGGUGAACGGCCACACUGGGACUGAGACACGGCCCAGACUCCUACGGGAGGCAGCAGUAGGGAAUCUUCCGCAAUGGGCGCAAGCCUGACGGAGCAACGCCGCGUGAGCGAAGAAGGCCUUCGGGUUGUAAAGCUCUGUUGCUCGGGGAGAGUGGCGCGGGGAGGGGAAAGCCCUGCGCGAGACGGUACCGAGUGAGGAAGCCCCGGCUAACUACGUGCCAGCAGCCGCGGUAAAACGUAGGGGGCGAGCGUUGUCCGGAAUCACUGGGCGUAAAGGGUGCGUAGGCGGUCGAGCAAGUCUGGAGUGAAAGUCCGUGGCUCAACCAUGGGAUGGCUCUGGAAACUGCUUGACUUGAGUGCUGGAGAGGCAAGGGGAAUUCCACGUGUAGCGGUGAAAUGCGUAGAGAUGUGGAGGAAUACCAGUGGCGAAGGCGCCUUGCUGGACA